RNAcentral lists this non-coding RNA (27 nucleotides) under Mus musculus (house mouse). The record is from RNAcentral. Lineage: Eukaryota; Metazoa; Chordata; Mammalia; Rodentia; Muridae.
UGGGCUCACAUCCCUUGGCUUCAUUGC